RNA transcript from Papaver somniferum (opium poppy), 870 nucleotides. It is a transcript of the gene named RING-H2 finger protein ATL48-like, with no coding region annotated. The transcript is spliced from 2 exons. The record is from RefSeq and is a predicted model, not a curated record. Lineage: Eukaryota; Viridiplantae; Streptophyta; Magnoliopsida; Ranunculales; Papaveraceae.
GAAAUACAACAGCAAAAUCCUACACCGAGGAAAAAGAUUUUCUUGAGAUUCUAAUGGAGAAAAUGGGUACAGCGGAAUCAGAACUAGAUGAAUUGUUUGGACAGAAGAAACGUGUGAAGAACCCUCUUGUUCCAAUGGGUGCACAACUUAUGAAAGUUAUGCUACAUAUACUGUCAAGUGUCUACAUAUACACUUUGUUUGUGUUCGAGGUUGAGAUAUAAGAUCUGAUAUGGGUCUGUCUUUCAAGGUUCUUUGGUUAAAUUUAUUAUUUGAAACUUCAUCCACUGGAAAUAUUGUUUGUACAAAGGAACGUAGGCUAAAAUCUUUUGUCCAUUUAGUUAAUUUGAUAGAUUUUCAGGUGCGCUUAUGACUGCGGGGGUGCUUACCGCUGGAUUAGUUAGUUUCAGGCAAGGGAAUUCUAACUUGGGCCAGAAGCUAAUGCGAGCUCGUGUAGUUGCUCAGGGUGCUACAGUUGCACUUAUGGUUGGCACUGCUUACUACUAUGGCGAAACUUUCACCCGUAAAGACACUUAGCCUCAAGUGAAAAUAUCUUCUUUACAGUGUUCAGUUGUUCUUUAAUUCAUUCAGUAUUUGUUUUCCAUCCUGUGUUUUGUACAAAACUGAACAACCUUAUCCGAUUGAUUGAUCAAUAAAAAAGAUAUACCUGUAUCAACUUUUUCUCUCUCUUUUUGAUGGAAUAUCUGUAUCAACUAGUGUUGAUACAUUUUUCUGUAGAAAGUUGUAAUUUAUAGGUCAUACAAUUCUCUGUUAGAUGUUGAAGUGUACUGAGUCGGGAUUUUUGUAAAAAUUUCCUAGUUGUAUGGUGCACCUAAAAGUAAAAUAAAAUAUGUUUGCAGCAAUACAAGUAAA